AUCAACACCACGGUGAGAGCGUGUUGGAAUGUAGGCCCGUAACCCAAACAAGCAGAACGUACAUCUUACUUGUCGUCGGAGCUUCCUGCAUCAUUAAACGAUGCAGCCAGUAGGAUCAAUACAUUGAAUGUAUUGGCAAGAUUCACUAAGAGUUAUAUCAGAGCUUACCAAGUAUAUGCAUAAUGUGGCAAAGUGGGGUUCAAGGCUAUUUGCGUGGAAGCAGAACAUAAAUUACCCUACUACAAAGGAAUUUUAUAAUAAUGUUAACUAUUGGACACGGGGUAGACACACCCAUGCUCGUAUUAACCUAGAGCACAUUGAAGUGGAUUCUUCAAGUGCUCCUACCCUGUUCAAACCAUUCAUUUUAUUUAAGAAAUUGGAAUGAGCGAGACUUUCCUUACAGCUCCACAUCUAGUUGCUCAAAUUGUCCGUUGCCGGGGACACGGCUAAGUACUUAGUUUUGUCGCUCUCGAGAGUUUGUACACAUUCCCCACAAAAAACCGACGUGUUAAUCCCUUACUGUCCCCAGGGUAGAGUAGCAACGACAUCGAUUACGAGAUUUCAGAGGUAAUUCCCUAAACCACGAGAGAAUCACGCUCCCCCUACACGGCUACCUCAAUACAAUUCCUCGGGUCUAGGUUCAUACAACUUACUCUUGUCUCGCCAGAGCCCAUAUAGCAUUGUGGUUGUACUAGAAGCUUCUAAAUAGGAAACUAGUCUAGUCUCUGUUAUCCCAGGUGGCAUUCCACAUUUGCAACGUAGGCGCUCCCCGAAUCCACGGGAGAAACGUCCAUGGACGAUCCAUUCCUGAAUCCACAGGAACUCGAUUCAGAGGGACCCAUAGAAAUGGACCUGACGCCGCUAAUCCUCAAAAUCCUCAAAGCAGCCCACUCAGGAUGGUUCAUUGAAUUAGUUGUUUUGCCUUACAUCUAACAGAAACUUUUCAUAUAGCCAAAGGCAUAACAAUAUCAUAAUGUAGUUAUUUCCCCCACGAUACUACCAUAGCUUAGCAUUCAACUACAAUCGAUGGCAAUUUGGUAGCAAGGUAAUGGCGAGGGUAAACUAUACUACCUGAGAUUUAUAGCUAGCAUAGAGGUACGAGUAAUGGUCCUAUCAAUGCAUCUCUACCAACAACACUAAUGCAUAAGUAUUUUAAAACAACAACAAUAAUUGGAUAUGAUCAAAGUGAACUUGUGAAGCGAUCCUCUCCCUUCCUAGGGUUUGAUCUCUGUGCUUACUGUGCUAGUCUCUGGAUCGACUCACUAGCACACACAGUUUCAUGAUGAAGUAUACAGAAACAAAGGUCAAAAGUACUUUGUUACAUCGCAUCAUCCAGAAUUUAAAUAGUACUUACAACCUCGCAUGACCUCUGGGGCCAGCAUAAAACCAAUACUGUUUCAACAUCAUAAAACAAUGUUUCAAAAUACUGCAGCGGAAAAGGGUAGAACAUAAGGGCCACACUACUCCAAAGUGAGAACAUGUUGGAAUGUAGGCACAUGACCCAUGACAAAACGACGAACCUCACUCAUCGUCGGAUCCACCUGCAUUGUUAAUUGCAGCCACUACGUGGUCAAUACAUUUGAAUGUAUUGGCAAGUUCACUAGAGUUAUAAAGGACCUACCAAGUACAUGCAUAAUUUGGCUAAGUGGGGUUUGACUAUUUUGCAUAAAAGCAUCAUUAUUCAAAUCCUAUUAUUUGUAGACAAAUAGUUUUGAAUUCUAUUGGACACGGGGUAGAAACACCCAUGCUCCUAUUAACCUAGGCACAUUGAGUAGAAACAUCAAUGCUCCUACCCAGUUCAAUCCAUUCGUUUUAUUAUGAAAUUGGAAUGAGUGAGACUUUCCUUACAGCUCCACUAUCUAGUUACUCAUAAUUGUCCGUAACCGGGGACACGGCUAAGUACUUAGUUCGACACUCUUGAGAGGUGGUACACUUUACCCACAAGAAAUCGACGUGUUAAUCCCUUGCUGUCCUCAGGGUAGAGUAGCAACGGCAUCGAUUACAGGAAUUUUCAGAACAUAUUCCCCCAAACCACCUGAGGGACGCGUUCCAACCUACACUGCUAUAUACCGAUGUCACCUCGGAUCCAGGUUCAUAUUUCUUACAUCCAUCCUGGCAGAGCCCAUAAUACCAUGUGGUCGUACUGGAAGCUACUAAACAGGAAACUAGUCCAGUCUCUAGUUAUCCGGGUGGCAUCCCACAUUGUGAUGCAGGCGCUCCCCGAAUCGCACGGGGAGAAGACCAUGGACGCUCCCGAAUCACACGGAGAGACGAGUCAGCGGGCCCUAUAGAAAUGGACCUAACGUCACUACAUGCAAAAACUCAAAGCAGCCCACCCAGGACGAUUCAUUGAAUUACUUGUUUUGCCAUACACUAGGAAAAUCAUAUUGUAAUUCAAUAGUGUCACAUUGUAAUAAUACCACCCUCGUAUAUUAGCAUAGCAUAGCAUUUUACUACUACGAUGGCAAUUGGUGGUGAAGUCAUGACAAAGGGUAUCCUAUACUACUAGGACAAAUCAUAGCUAGCAUAGAUACAGUAAUAAUCCUAACAAUGCAACUAAUAAAAAAUCUAGUGCAUAAUAAAAUAAUGGAUAAAUGAUCAAAGUGAACUUGCCUUGAUAGUAGUUGGUAUUCAAACACUCUUCGCAAUCACACAGUUCGCUCUCCGAGAAAACCAUACAAUCAAGCAAACAUACACAUACAUAAACACACGAUAUAAGCAAAAGAUUAUGUAUGCUAUGAUGCAAUGCAAAACAUGUGACAUGAGUUUGGUUUAUUUUAUUUGGGUGAUCUACUGAUCCAAAGCAUUGAUAAUUAAAGGUUUAUUUUAUUAAGCACAUGCAAUUAGGGUUUUUAAGCAAAAGCAAAGGCUAGGGUUUAAACCCUAAAAUGAGGUUUUAUUGGCAUCAGCCAAAUAGAUUAAUUCAAAAUAUUUAUUUCUCUGUCACAUUGGACAGAGGACAAUAAAACAAAAUUUUGGGCACUGGUUUCACUCAAAAAGGACUUCUAGAUAAUUAGUUAUGAUUUAAAUGGCAUAAAUCCCUAUUCUGUAAUUUGAAUGUGAUUCAAAUAUUCAAAAUUGAAUUUGGACCAUGCCAAAAGAUUCUACACUUCCUAAGGAUUCCAAAAAGGUGUGGAUCAUUACAUUUGGCCAAACAGAUUUAAAGUUAUGAUCCUUUGAAGUUACAGGGGCCUAUCUGCAAAAGUGCCUUUUAAUUAAUCCGGGGGAUUAAAAUUUGAUUUUUAUUUUAUAAAAAUAGAUGCCACGUGGCGCGUUCCUAUUCAUUGGUACCGGUUCGGUUUAAGUGAAAAAGGACGAUCUAAUCUACACCGUUGAUCAACGAUCGGACGGACGAGGGGCUAGGGUUUUUACCGGGCGGCGGCGGCGGUCACCGGAGAUGGAGGGGAUGGCGGCGCGGGCACGGGCGCAGCGGCGCGGGGUGUUCCGACGAGGCUGGCAACGCGGGGAGUUCACGGGGAGGCGCGGCGCGCUCGGUGACGGGGUCGGUGUGGGCUCGGGCGGUCGGGGUCGUCGCCUAGGUCGAGGAAGACGCGGCGGCGCGGGCGGCGAACUCCGGUGAGUCUUCGGGCGCGACGGGCGGCGCGGCGGUGCACGAGAGAAGAAAUGGCGUGUGUCAAAUGAAGCGCAAGGAUGAGUAGAAGAAGAGGGGGGGAAAAAUGGCGGCGCUUACCCUUAGGGUUCACCGGCGACGAAGGAGAAAGACGGCGGCGCGGGUGUGGCGCCGGCGAAGGAUUCCGGCGGCGUGGUCGCGCGAUUGGCUGGGGAAGUAAGGGGGAAAGAGAGAGGGGGUCGCGGGGCUUAAAAGGACGCGCUCGGGGCUGCAAAAGGAAAGGCGGAGGAGGAGAUUGCGGCGGCGAGCGCGCGGGGACGGCGGCCGGGAAUCGCGGCGGCGGCGCGAGCGCAUUCCUUCGGGAACGAAAGCCCUGACAGGUGGGCCCCACCUGUCAGCGAGUGCGGGCGCGCGGGCGCGGCCGUUGGGCUGGCUGGGCGGCGGGUGCGCGCGAGGAGUUGGGCCGGUUCGGCCCAAUUCGGCCGGGCCGGUCCGCUUGCUCCUUUUUUUUUCUUUUACCCUUUUCUUUUUCUGUUUUUCUUAUUCCUUUGAUAUCUUUUGAUUUUGAACUCCAAAUUUGUCCAAAUAAAUCCCAGAAAAAUUUGUAAAAUCAUGUUCUACCAGUAGUUUCCCCUCAAAAUAAAAUAUAUAAAAAUACAUUUGCCCUAUAAAUGCCUUUAGGGUCAUAUAUCUAUUUAAAUAAAAUACUUUUCCAACUCCAAACAAUUAUCCAAAAAUUAUGGGAUAGCUUAUAUAUGCAUUAAACCUCUUUUAUGCAUAAACCCUAUUGGUUUGAAAAAUUCUAAAGCCCAAAUAGGUGUAAACAAAAUCUUUUAAAGCCUUUUGAGAUUCAAAUUCGAAUUCAAACAUGCAAUUGUGGCAUGAUGCUUAUGAAUGCAAUGCUCAUGUAAAGGUUUGAGCAAUUCCUCUGAAGUAUGCCCUAAAUGCAAUUCUUCAUUGAACAACAUUCCUCAAAUCACUACUUCACAUGCUGUGACUCAAACUGAUUUCCCUGAUUCACCCGAUAUCGCUUCUAGCUUUACUACUAUUGGUGAAUUUUACUCUGUUGUCACUAAUCCUUCACCUAGUGAUCUUUCAGUGGCUGAAGAAAAUGCUAAGUUGAAGAAGCAGACUGAGGCUGGUAUACUCAAGUGUCACCAAGGGAUUGAAACCUUGAACCAGAUUCUUGGUCUUCAAAUUCCUCGCCGACGCAAGGAUGGUAUCGGUUUUCAGAGGAAGUACAAUGUUAAUGGUGAUGCUUGGCUCCCUAAGCAAUAUCCCCCUACAAAGUUUGUCCAGGGAAGAGGGAAGUACACUGAGGUUCCUCCAUUUGUGGGAAAUCUGAAUCCCCGUAAGGAUGCUUCAAAGCGUCCCAAUAGUUCACGUGCUUACCCGAUAUUCCAUGUUGAUGAAUCUUACAUUCUGAAGAUGGGUAAGGAUAAUAAAGUGAGAGCUAAUUUCACUGGAACCAUAAUGCGUGGAGAACAUGCAAAACCUCAAAUCUGGGUGCCAAAAUCUGUCAUUACAUUUUUCCGUAAUGCCCUGUGUUCUUCAAGUUCUACUAACAUGCAGGAACCCAUGAAAACAUGGGUGCCUAAACGAGCCUAACUUUCUUCGUAGGCAUAUGCAUCUGGAGGAAGAGAAUGGGUCAUGGACUCCGGAUGUACGAAUCACAUGACCGGUGAGAAGAAAAUGUUUAGCUCUUUAGAACUUGGUCCUCAACAUCAUGAGAACAUCACUUUUGAUGACAAUGGUAAGGGAAAGGUAAUCGUUCUCGGCAAAAUUGCUAUUUCCAAGGAAAAUGACCUGGCUAUCAAUGAAGUACUUCUUGUUGAAUCACUUGGAUAUAAUCUUCUAUCAGUUGCUUAACUAUGUGAUAAUGGACUAAUCGUUUGCUUCACAAGACAAUAUGUCUAUGUUACUUCAGAAAAGGAUAACUCUUUUGUCUUCAGAGGGCGAAGAAAGGGUAACCUCUAUCUUGUAAAUUUUGAAGACUCCGCAUACUCACCCCCUACGUGUCUAGUUGCAAAAUCCUCACUAGGGUGGCUCUGGCAUAGAAGACUCGGUCAUGUGGUGUAACAUCCCAAAAUUUCAAAGUUUUACAUGAGCAUUACAUCCAUAAGCAUCAUGCCACAAUUGCAUGUUUGAAUUCAAAUUUAAAUCACAAAAGACUUUAAUAGAUUUUGUUUACACCCAUUUGAGCUUUGGAUCUUCAAACCAUUAAGGUUUCUAAAAUAAAAGUGGUUUAUUGCACAUAUGAGCUAUUCCAUAAUUUUUGGGUAAUUAUUUGGAGUUGAAAAAGUAUUUUAUUUAAAUAGAUAUAUGGCCCUAAAGGCAUUUAUAGGGCAAAUGUAUUUUUAUAUAUGACCGCCGACCGCGCCGCCCGCCCGUCUUCGUCCUAGGCGCCGACCCCGCCGUCCCUGACCGCCGCCGACCGCGCCCCCGUCUCCGCCGUGCCGCGCCGCGCCGUCCCCGGCCCUCCCCACGUCGCCCGCCCCGCCGGCGCACCGCGCGCCGCCACGCCCAUGCCCGCGCCGCCGUCCCCUCCGUCUCCGGUGACCGCAGCCGCCGCCCGGUAAAACCCUAGCCCCUCGUCCGUCCGAUCUUUGAUCAACGGUGUAGAUUAGAUCUUUCUUUGAUCACCUAGUUUAUAAAAUGAAAAUCUAAUUUUUAAUCCCCCGGAAUAAUUAAAUGGCAUUUUGCAGAUAGGCCCCUGUAACUUCAAAUGAUUAUAACUUUAAAUCUGUUUGGCCAAAUUUAAUGAUCCACACCUUUUUGAAAUCCUUAGGAAGUGUAAAAUCUUUUGGCCCUGUCCAAAUUCAAAUUUGAAUAUUUGAAUCACAAUCAAAUUACAGAUUAGGGUUUUAUGCCAUUUAAAUCAUAACUAAUUAUUUAGAAGUCCUUUUUGAAUGAAACCAGUGCCCAAAAUUUUGUUUUAAUAUCCUCUGUCCAAUGGGAGAGAGAAAUAAAUAUUUUGAAUUAAAUUGCUUUCAGAUGCAAAUAAAACCUCAUUUUAGGGUUUAAACCCUAACUUUUGCUUUUUGUUUAAAACCCUAAUUACAUGUGUUUCAUUCUCAGGGCAUUGGAUCAGUAGAUCACCCAAAUAAAAUAAACCAAACUCAUGUCACAUGUUAUGCAUUGCAUCAUGACAUACAUAUUCUUUUCCUUGUAUGGUGUGUUUAUGUAUGUGUAUGUUUGCUUGAUUGUAUAGUUUUCUCGGAGAGCGAACUGUGUGAUUGCGAAGAGUGUUUGAGUACCAACUCCUAUCAAGGCAAGUUCACUUUGACCAUCAUCUUAUUAUUUUAUUAUGCACUAGUUUUUAUUAGUUGCAUUGUUUGGAUUACUAUUGUAUCUAUGCUAUGCUAUGAUUCUCUUAAUAGUAUAGGAUACCUUUGCCAUGACCUCACCACCCAUUGCCAUCGUAGAGGUAAAAUGCUAUGCUAUGAUAAUAAACAAGGGCGGUAUUAUUACAAUGUGAUACUAUUGAAUUACAAAUAUAGUUUUCCUAGUGUAUGGCAAAACAAGUAAUUCAAUGAACCGUCCUGAGUGGGCUGCUUUGAGGAAGUGGAGAUGUAUGCAGCGUCAGGUCCAUUUCUAUGGGUCCAUUUCUAUGAAUCGUCUGGCCAUUUCUAUGGGAGCGCCUGCGUUGCAACCGAGGAAUGCCACCAAGGGUAACCAGAGACUGGACUAGUUUCCUGUUUAGUAUCUUCCAGUACAACCACAUGGUAUUAUGGGCUCUGCCGGGAUGGAUGUAAGAAAUAUGAACCCGGAUCCGAAGUGACAUCGGUAUGUAGCGGUGUAGGUGGGGGCGCGUCCCUCAGGUGGUCUGGGGGAUUAUGUUCUGAAAAUUCCUGUAGUCGAUGCCGUCGCUACUCUACCCUGAGGCCAGCAAGGGAUUAACACGUCGAUUUCUUGUGGGUAAAGUGUACCACCUCUCGAGAGUGUCAAACUAAGUACUUAACCGUGUCCCCGGUUACGGACAAUUAUGAGCAACUAGAUAUUGGGGCUGUAAGGAAAGUCUCACUCAUUCCAAUUUCCUAAUAAAAUGAAUGGUUUGAACUGGAUAGGAGCAUUGAUGUUUCUACUCAAUGUGCUUAGGCUAAUAGAAGCAUUGGGUGUUUCUACCCCGUGUCCAAUAGAAUUCAAAACUACUUGUGUAAAAAUGAUAGGAUUUGAAUAAUGAUGCUUUUAUGCAAAUAGCCAAACCCCACCUAGCCAAAUAUUACAUAUACUUGAUAGGAUCUGUUAUAUGUCUGGUGAACUUGCCAAUAUAUUCAAAUGUAUUGACCACGUAGUGGCUGCAAUUAACAAUGCAGGUGGAUCCAACGAUGAGUGAGGUUCGUCGUUUUGUUGUGGGUCAUGUGCUUACAUUCCAACAUGCUCUCACCUUGGAGUAGUGUGGCCCUUAUGUUCUACCCUUUUCCGCUGCAGUUUUGAAACCUUGUUUUAUGAUGAUGAAACAGUAUUUGUUUUAUGCUAGCCCAAGAGGUCAUGCGAGGUUGUAAGUACUAUUUAAAUUCUGGAUGAUGCGAUGUAAUAAAGUACUUUUGACCUUUGUUUCUGCAUACUUCAUCAUGAAACUGUGUGCGCUAGUGAGUCGAUCCAGGGACUAGCACAGUAAGCACAGAGAUCGAACCCUAGUAAAGGGGAGGAUCGCUUCAGAUUGUAUCAGAGCAAUGUGUUGCCUGUAGGAACGUGACCCUAGUUUGGAUUAGGAUAAGACAGACCAAAGACCAAACCUUAGGAUUAUUUCACAUGAUAUUAUGCAUCCAAUUUAUAAUUACAUUUCCACCCUUGAUAUAAAUGUUCAUCACUUGAUUCUCACUGUACCACUUUUAUUUUAUUUUAUUUUACUUACAUUCGACCAUUUGAUCAAGUCACUGAUACUCCCUUAUCUACCUUCUUUACUUUCUAUAAAUGGGAAGCCCAACACCGUUCGGCAACGUACCGCCGUUCACCCGCGUCUACUACCCCUCCACGGACGACGACCAGUUGUUCAGUGCCCCUUUUGUGGCACUGUGUGCGUUCCUCGACCUGCCACCACCCAGGUUCAGAGGCCAAGUUGAGACCGUCGCACCCGAGGGAUGACAGCCACGGUGGGAGAUCGAGGCGAAGAUCCGGGGGCGUGAGAUCGCGCCAACUACGCCGGAUAUCACCUUCAUCAGCCGCUACCCCACUUUCGAGCAGGGCCUUCAGUUCGUCAUGCAGUGCGGUUUCGCACAGGUGUGCCGGGACUAUCGGCCCGAGUUCCCCGAGGACUCCCCCUUCCUCCUCUUUGGAAGGCGGAACCAUGCAUGCUCGGCAGUGGCUACUACCAACGACGAGGAUGCAACCCCAGUGACGACCCACUUCGAGAACAUGGAGAUAAACACCGUGGACUUGGAGUCUUGCCUCGAGCAUGAGAUGACCAGGGCCGACCUAGCUGAGGAACAGGUUGGUAACCUGAUGGGAGAGAAGACCCAGUGGCUGGAGGACAAGGCCGUGUUGGAGAACACUGUCCUCAACAUGGGAGACGCCAUCGAGCAGCUGCAGUAUGAGAGGGACCAGGCUCGGUACUGUAACAGCCCGAGAGCAACUUUUACAUUUAAGCCCUCGUUUGGACCUGUUUGUAAUUUAUUUAAAUGCUGCAUGACAAUUACAUUUUCAUCCAUGCCAUGCCAUGUCUAUUAUUUGUGUCACAUGAGUUUUAAACUUGCAUCUCAAAUUGUGGUUUGAAUGCUUGUUGUGUAAUUUGGUAGAAGAUUCAAAUAUGAAUCACCCUCCUUUGAGUUUGAAUUCUUUUCCCUCUAUUUUUCAAAUGAGAUUCAAAUGGGUUUUGUUUUAAACCUUUGACCCCAUUUGAAUAUUUUCCAAAUACUAGUACCAUAUUUUUUUUCUCCUACUUCUUAGGAAUUCAAAAAGUUGUUUGAAAUUUGAAUCCAAAAACUAUUUGCAAAAACAGAAAAAGAAAAGGGAAAAGAAAACCUUACCUGCUCACUUGGCCCGAGCCAGCCCAGCAACGCGGCCCAGUUUCUCUCCUCGCGCGCGCGGCCCGCCAGCGCCCGCGGCCCAGUUUCCUUCACGCAGCACCCACGAGCCGUUUCCCCACAGCGAAAGCGCAUUCUGCGAAAUACGCCACCUCUCACACGCCCGUCUUCCUCCUCACCUUUUCUCCCUCCCGACUGGUGAGCCCCCCGGCCACGUCCUCUUCGACAGCGACAGCCACGCCUCCACGCGGCCUUUAUAAGCUGCUCCGCACCCCUCCUGCUAACCCUAGGCCAGCAAAACCCUAGCCCAGCUCCCUCUCUCUCCGCGCGGCGCCGUCGCCCGUCUUCGGCCGCGAGCUCGUCGCCGACGCGCCACCGUCUCCGGCCAAACGGCGGCAAGCCAACCGCGUCGUCAAGCGCGCCUCUCCUUCCUCUACGCGUGGGUGCAAGGAAUUGGAGCGCGGACGUCUACACCGACGCCUAAGUCGUCUUCCCCAACUCCGGCCGCCGCUCGUCUCCGGCCAAAUUCCGGCGAAACCGCUCGUCUAUUCCUCGUCAGCUUCCUCGCAUGUCACCGGGGUGAGUUGCUCUUCCUCCUGCCUCUUUCCGCGCCGUUUUUCAUGCACCCUAGCGUUGUAGCACCGCCCGCGCGCCCCACCGUGCCGCCGACGAGCUUCGUCUCGUCGCCGCGCCGUCGUCUCCUUAAGGACACUGGUGGCCUUCGUGCCACCUAGGCUAGUUGUUUCCGCGCGCUUCCGUUUUUCCGAGUUAGAGUGUCCCUUUGCCGCUAGCUUGGUCGCCGGCGUCCAUGCUCGCCGUUGCCGCCGCGCGUGCUCCCAGGCCGCCCGCUUGGGAUGGGUUAAGAGGGCUUGCGCCCUGUAUCUUGUAAGAUCCGAAUCGCAGCCCGCCUGGCCACCUCGCUCGUCCGUUCGCUCGGUCAAACCAACCCGGGUUCGAUCUCCCGUGGUCGUAGGGUAAAAACCCCACCUUUUUACUCUUUGGCCACGUCUGACAGGUGGGACCCGCUGGUCAGAGACCGCGGCAGCCAGCUCAGCGCGCCCCGCCUCGUUAGCUUGUCCGGGCCCGCUGUCAGCCACACAGGCUAGCUGCGCCCGCGUAGUUUUAGUUCUUUGCAUGUUUUCCUUUGUUGUAAAAUUCCAGAAAUUGUUUUGUCUUGUUUAAUUCCUAGAAAAUGCAUGCUAUGUCCUAUUUGGGCAAACCAUGUAUGUUUUGGAAUCAAAAAAAUGCAAGGAAUUUAACUGUGCAAUUAUAAUUACAUUUUGAGGUUUCAAAUUUCAAAUCUGUUCUAGAUUUGAAAUUCAAACGUAUGAACUUGUUUAGUCUCUAGUUAAAAAUUGGUAACUCUUCUAUGGAUAAUGUAAACAUCAAAGUUGAUCCCCUUAUCUAGUAGAACACAGUAGCAUACUUGGUUAGGCCAUUUGUGUAUUUUAAAGCUGCUGUUUACCAUGAUCUAAUCACCUAAUGGUUAACUUUGUUCCUAGAUAGAACCUUUUCACUUGCAUAUGGUCGCAUCAUGUUGUCACAUGCCAUCUCAUGUUGUAUUGUGCAUUGCACCUAUGAAGUGUUACUUAUUCGCAAAUUAUAUGAUUUGGAUCUUUACGAUAGCGACUCCGUCUUACUCCGUCGACGAUCCGGGUUCCUACACUUCUUCAGAUCCCCUCUCUCGGUGCCCAGUGACCGAGAAUCCAGGCAAGCUGAAGUGACCCCCCUUCACCAAGGGUUCGAUCUCUGUGCUUAUAGUGCUAGUUCCUGGAUCGACUCGCUAGCACACACAGUUUCAAGAUGUAAUAUCAAGAUACAAAGGUCAAAAGUAUAUUACAUCGCAUUGAUCCAGAAUUUAGUAGUAACUUACAUAUUGCAUAACCUCAUGGGUUAUCUCAAAAGAAAAGAAAAUCUUGCAGCGGAAGGCAGAAGAUACAGGAGUCCCAUAACACCUCCACAGUUGAAACAUGUUGGAAUGUAAACUCGCAACCCUAACAUUGAAUGUAUUGGCAAGUUCAUAAAAGGGUUAUAACAGAUCCUAUCAAGUAUAUGCAGAAUUUGGCUUGGUGGGGUUCAGGCUUUAUGGCGUGGUAGCAAAACAUAGUUUAUCUUACUAUAAAGAAUGAUACAUUAUUGUUAACUAAUGGACACGGGGUAGAAACACCCAUGCUCCUAUUAACCUAGAGCACAUUGAGUGGAUUACAUCAAGUGCCCCUACCCUGUUCAAACCAUUCAUUUUAUUUAAGAAGUUGGAAUGAGUGAGACUUUCUUUACAGCCCCAAUAUCUAGUUGCUCAUAAUUGUCCGUAACCGGUGAGACGGCUAAGUACUUACUUUGACAUUCUCGAGAGGUGGUACACUUUACCCACAAGAAAUCGAUGUGUUGAUCCCUUGCUGUCCUCAGGGUAGAGUAGCAAUGGCAUCGAUUACAGGAAUUUUCAGAACAUAUUCCCCCAAACCACCUGAGGGACACGUUCCAACCUACACUGCUACAUACCGAUGUCACCUCGGAUCCAGGUUCAUAUUUCUUACAUGCAUCCUGGCAGAGCCCAUAAUACCGUGUGGUUGUACUGGAAGCUACUAAACAGGAAACUAGUCCAGUCUCUGGUUAUCCCGGGUGGCAUCCCACAUUGUGACGCAGGCGCUCCCCGAAUCGCACGGGGAGACGACCAUGGACGCUCCCGAAUCACACGAAGAGAUGACUUAGCGGGCCCCAUAGAAAUGGACCUAACGUCACGACAUCCGAAAACUCAAAGCAGCCCACCCAAGACGAUUCAUUGAAUUACUUGUUUUGCCAUACACUAGGAAAAUCAUAUUGUAAUUCAAUAGUAUCACAUUGUAAUAAUACCACCCUCGUAUAUUAGCAUAGCAUAGCAAUUUACUACUACGAUGGCAAUUGGUGGUAAGGUCAUGGCAAAGGUAUCCUAUACUACUAGGACAGAUCAUAGUAAGCAUAGAUACAAUAAUAAUCCUAACAAUGCAAUUAAUAAAAUCUAGUGCAUAAUAAAAUAAUAGGAUGAUGGUCAAAGUGAACUUGCAUGAUUAGUGUCUUUGUAUUCUUCUUUUUGAUACUCAUAGUUACCGCACUCUGUAUAAUCUAUCACGAAGAACGAAAAUCAAUAAUAAAUAACCAUUCGACAACUCCAAAUAAAUAACCAAAGCAAUAUACAAAGUUUAAAUUAAAUAGUACCUAACUACAGUUAGGUUGUCCUAGGCACAAAUCUAAGAGGUAGGAACAAGGCUUGGGUUCUAUCAGAGUUGAAACGGUGAAGUCAUUGGCUGUUAACAGAUACAAUUUUCCAGGAGUCAUGGGCUAUGGUAGAUGAACUUAAAAAGGUGCACAAAGUGGUCCAGAAAUUAGAGUUUGGUGUACUCUUGUCACAACAGAAAGAAUGAACUGGUUUGAAAAUAUGUAUCAACAUGUAUGGGCUUUGAAACAUUGCUAAUCAAUAAGACAGUGUUAAUAGAUACAAAGUUUGGUUGGGCAUGGACUAGUGUGGCUAAGUCCAGGAUUUAAGUCUAUAGGAACUGUUACAACUUAGAUACUUUGGCUGUUUGACAAAUGGUGCUAAAUGGCAGAACAUGGGAUGAAAAGUAUACUACUGUAUAGUAUAUUGAUUUUACUUGCUAACCCCACAAGUCUCAUCCCAAAAGGAUCUACAGAGAAUUAGCUACUGGCUUGCAAAGCUGGCUAGUCUGAUUCUGAUAGAUUAAAGAUACUAACUUCUACUGAAAAUGUGCUGGUGCUAAUGGCUUCAAAAGACAGAGGGCCAAUGGGAUAAAUUAAACCAGAUCUAACAAGAUUUCAAAAUCCACUGGUAAAACCUAAAUAGGAGUUGUGAGCCAAAAUAAACAGGUUUACAAAAAGGGCUAAUCUAUAACAAAGUUUCUGUAACUAAAGGCUUAGAAUUGGCCAAGUGUGGAAAACUGCUGAAGGUACUGUUUUGCAAUGACGAUGCACUAGUGUGAAUGAACUUGGAAAGGUUUUAAAAUAGGUCCAGGAUGUAGAUUUGGAUUUUAUCUUGACAUGACAGAAAGAAUAAUUUAAUUUGAAGUAAUGGAUCAAAAGAUAUAGGCUCCGGAAGAUAGCUAACUGAUGUGACAGUGUUAACAGAUACGACAUUUGAUUGAAGAUGCACCUCCGUAGAUGAAUCCUAAGUUGUGCAAGGUGUACACUAAUGUGUAGAACAUGAUCUAAUUGAUGAACUACAGAAGUCUUGGAACGAAACGGAUCAAUGGAACAAUUUAUAUUAAUUUCGAAAGUUGGCUAAUCCAGAAACAGCAUACUGUGAAUAGCAAUUUCCAAUGAAGAUGCCGUACUGAAGAUCAUGGAGACGGGGUAUACAAUCUGGUCUGGUCUAGAGAGGUGGAUGUGGUCUAACUACAACAGAAAGAUUCGGCCAAAAAUAAUACACUGAUCAAAAGAUAUGGGCUUCUAAACAUGGCUAAUCAAAACUGCUGCGGCUGAAAAGUUGCUCACCGGAAAAGACACGGAGUUCGCCGGAGUUGAAGGAGGAUGGUGAUGAUGUCGACAUAGGGUUCGAUGGGGCACUAGAAGACGUCAAGGCAGACACCGUGAUGCGGUUUUCGGGGUCGAGGGCGUCUCCGGACGGCGACGGGCGGAGCUCCGGGCGCGGCUUUGGCAUGGGAUCGGGGACGGCGCGGCCAACGGCGUCAAGAGGUCACGAAACCUUGUCACAAGGGUAGGUAAGGGUCACAGGAGCCUACCGGUGAAAGGAAUCGAAGAACGGAGAUUCGGAGUGAUCUCACCGGCAACAAUGGUGGCGGUGACCGGCGGAGGAAGACGUCAACGUAGCCGGCUGUACAGAAGUUUUGAGGCCAAACUUUGUACAUAGGAAUGGGAGAGGAGAGGCAAAGGCUCAAAGUGACGCGCGUGGAAUCCUUUUACAGUGGCCGAGGAGGGAGAUCGGGCGCGGAUGUCGACGGCCGACAUUCGGGGCACCUUUUUUGGAAACUGCGAUUAUGAGAGGAAAUUUCAAAUUGAUUUCCUGAAUAGAUUCCCGGGAUGGUGAGGAUUGAUGGGGUGGUUUUUUUUCGGAGAGAGAUGCGCGGGAAAGAAAGAAAUCGAAGAAAGAAAAUAUGGAAGGAGAGGAUUUCUUACGUGCACAGGAGGAAGAACACGAGCUCGUGCUCGUGCUCGUGCUCGCUCGGUGGAGAUGGGCCGGCCCAGUUGGGUCAGUCCAUUCUUUUGUUUUUCUUUUCUUUUUUUUUCCAUUUAUGUUUUUAUUAAUAACUUUUGAUUCCUAACUCCAAAUAAGUCCAAAUAAACUCCAGUAAAUUUGUAAAUUUAAAUCCUCCAAAGUGUGAACUUUUGGGACUCGAAUCCUUUCAAAAUAAAAUAAGUAAAAAUACUUUUGCUUAUAUAAAUGUCAUUAGGGCUUUAUAAGUAAUACAUAAAAUAGGUUUUGAAAUCUAUUAUGAAACCUUUGUUUCAUAAAUUAUUUUAAACUCCAACAAAAUAUUGGGUUGGCAUACUUUGCACUAAAACCCUUUCUUAGAUAAAUACCCCAUUUGUUUGAACUCCAAAUAAAAUCUCAUAUUAAUUACAUGGUUCACAAAAUUCCCAAAUAGCUUUAUAACACCAAAUCACAAAUCAUGUAAACCAUCACAGAUGUUUCCAACUAUAUAUGUUUGGGAAGUCACGUUAUCUCACUCUCAACAAUGGAAUAAAUGUUGGAAUAACAUUUGCACAUGAGGAUGUCACGUUAUCCUCUUCUCGAAUAUUUGAUAACUUCUUUUCGAAAACAAAAUUAACAUGUCAAAAUAAAAAUCGAGAAAACAUAGGUGCAUCAUUAAAUAUGUUUCCAACCUUAUAACUAGGAAAGUCAUAUUAUUCCCUCUCGUUAUCCUUUAGAUAAAUGUUGGAGAACAUUUCUGAUAAAUUUAAAUAUUCCAACGAUGCUCUCAAAUGGUCAUGGCAUCCAAAUUGGAAACUUAGUGUGUUAGUAAAUCCUUCAAAUAGGACAUAGGAUUUAUUUGGAUGCAAAGAAUAAUCCGGUGGAAAUCAUAAGAUGCAUAUGGGUUCAAAAUAGAAUAACUUUGAACUUACAUAAAUGUCCGAACCAUGUUGUAUAAUUUGGAUAGUCAUAUUAAUCCACUCUUUUGUUGAAUAUUCAAACAUGGUGUGGAAAAAUUUAAAUAAGUCCUAAAAAUUUCAAAUCCUUCGGAAAUUCACAACCAAAAUAUUUCCGAAGCCAAUAUUUUCAUUAAAAUAAUUAUUUUAUUUAACAUUCCAGAAUUGGAAAAUUCUGGGAUGUUACACAAGCAGCCAUUCCUUGAACAUGUUGUUUGUACCAAUGCCUCUCUCUCAUUCUUGCAUUAAGUUACGUUCUUAGUUCUUGUCACGAUGCCUCUAGGAUUGCAUAGUUUUAGUCAGCUCUACUAAAAAUGCCUGUCGUCUUGUUCCUUAUCCUAUUACCAUGUCACAUGUUGUUUUGCCCUAGUUGGUCACUAGAAGUCUUGCUUAGAUUGCUCGUCUAGUGUCCUUACUUGGGGUUAUACAACUGCUACAUCCACAUGCCAAUUUUCUGUAUUUAAUUGCAAUUAUUAAACUAUGACCUGUUAUUACCUACACAAGGCAACGAUGGGAGGCCAUGCUAACGCAUUGGUGUUUUGUUCCAUUGGCGCCGACCUAAGGACUGAGUUCUCGUUUUCGCCGACCCAAGAAACUUCGCGCUAACCGCUCGUGGGAGAAUAUAUGAGUUCCCCCUCGGCUUAGUACUCGUUUCAUAGCUCUUUCAGGGGCCACAUAGUUCGGGCAUUCCUUUUGGCAUAUCGCAUAUACACUGGUGUUGUUUGGAGACUUGUUGUUACUUUGCAUACAUAUAGGACUGCAGCACUAGUCUGGAGUGGUCAUUCUGCGGACACUGAACCACUACCAGCUGUCCACGCAACUCUUGAGUCCGUACGACGCUUCGGCUGGGCUCUCGUUUCGGAUUAGACUCAGUUGGGUGGUCCCCUGGAUUAGUUGUGGGGCUUGGAAACGUCGUGUCGCUCAAUCCUGCCGGCACAUGCUUUUGCGUGUGUUCCAUGCUAGUGGCAUCAAGGGUUGGACGAACGUGCACGGGUAAAUUGGCACACCCUGCAGGGAUAAAUCUUUCAGAAAGCCGUGUCCGCGGUUAUGGACGACUUGAUUGGUCAUUACUUGAUCAUAGAGAACUCAUACCUUUUAAUUAACUUAAUCUCUUAAGACUUGAGUAGUAAUUAGCCUGAAUCAUGGAUAUGCUUAAAACUGCUUAAGUGUGAGUGCCUUUGGAUCAUUUCCUCACAAGGGGUUGAGGGGGUGAUAAGAGGUUGUGUUCUGUUUGGUGUUAGUUGAUAGAAGAUCACCUCACUUGGUAGACGCUCCUUAUCUUCUAUCUAGACGAUGUCAUUAGUGUGUCUCUCCAGAUAUAUAUCGCUACUGCAUAACCCACCUUUUACCCAUCCUUUGAGACUUGUUGCAUAUCUAGUAUAGAUCUCCCGUAAGUCCUGCGAGUACUUUGUACUCAGGUUGCUUUGCAACGUUGUUUUCCCCAGAGUUUCCGGAGGAACAGGUGAGUGGUUACUUCGUGGAGUUUGACGACUAAAGCUUCGACGUUUAGCCAGAAGAUUCCAGAGCAGGGUUCUGAGAACUUGUGGCAGCUCUCCUUUUCAGUUUCAGCCUUUUAGGCACUAUUUGUAAUUUGUCCGUACUCGGGCAUAAUUUGCUUCCACUGGUGUAAUGAUGAUUGUGGACAUGUGUCCGUGAGUUGUAAUAACUUGGUAUUUUGCUCCAUGUAUGAGCUUGACUUCAUUCUUGUGUCUUAGAGUGAUGUAAUGAUAUCAUUGUUGUUCUAACCUGCGGUGAACACCUUGCGUGUAUGUUGUGAAGUGUUCGUCGUAGGGAGGCACUGGGACUUGAUUUAUGCGCGAGUUAGCAUUUGGGGCUAAAUUGCAUAAAUUCAGUCUCAGGGUUUCACAGCUACUACUGCGAGCAGUUCCAGGCGUUCAUCGCAGCCGCAGCAGCACCAGCUGCCGCACCGGCGCCUGUUCAGUUCCCACCUCCACCACAGGAUCAGGAGAUGGAGCCCAGGAGGAGCCCCAGGAGGUCCACGAGAUGGACACCCCUGCUACAAACACCCGCUCCAAUUCUUCCACCAUGCAACAGUUAUUGGCCGCCCAGACCCAAUUCUUCCAGAUGAUCACCCAACAGUUGGCCAACAACAACAACAACAACUAGCAGAACCACAACAACCAGCAACACCACCCACCUCAAGUGGAUAUGCUGACCAGAUUUCUGCGUUUGCGCCCGCCCACUUUUUCCAGCUCCACUGAACCUAUUAUGGCUGACGGUUGGCUCCGGUCAGUCAACAAGAACUUGGUCACCAUCAACUACACUGAACAAGAGAAAGUGCGGUUUGCAGCUCAUCUGCUAGAAGGACCCGCAGCAUCUUGGUGGGAGAAUUUUCAGAUUACCACCCCCAUCGAGGAUGUCACCUGGGACAUGUUCCAGGAAGCCUUUCGCACUGCCCACAUCUCUGCGGGAGUGCUCAACUUGAAGAUGAAAGAAUUUCACAGGCUGCGACAGGGAAGCCGCUCUGUGUCAGAAUAUAUAGAGGUUUUCAACCAACUGUCCCGCUAUGCACCGGACGAUGUGAACACCGACGCCAAGCGCAGGGAGAAGUUUUUGGACGGUCUGAACGACGAGCUAUCGGUUCAACUUGCUAUUGUUUACACCCCCACUUACCAGUUUUUGAUUGACAAAGCCAUCAUUCUGGAGAGUAACCUCACUCAGUUGGAGAACCGCAAGAAGAGAUUUCACCAAGGAGGCUCUCACACUGGACCGCACCAGAAGCAACGCACCUCCUAUGAUGGAAAUGGCAGUUCCUCCUUGAGCAGAAAUGGGAACCAAAGCAACCACCGCACUGGAAGUAAUAGUCACAACCACCGCCAGGGAAACCAAGGACACCAUCACCAGGGUGGCAAUGUGAACCGGCACCAUCAGCAACACCAGCAGCAGCAUCAGUUCGCUCGCCCAAGACCCAUCAAUGGCAAUGGCAAUGGCAGGAACAACGGCAAUGGCCAGAACAACAAUGGUCAGAACCACAAUGCCAACAAAGACAUGAGCAAGUGUAACGACCCGAACCCGGUAAGGUUCGAAUCUCUGUGCUCACAGCGCUAUCCCUAGAUCAUAGCUAGCACACACAGUAACAAGUGGAUACCAAGAAAACAUAUAUCAUCUUUAUUAAUCAACGACAAAUCCAGAGUUUUAAUUAUUACAAUCUGCACAGCUAUAGUGACUGGCUCACUUUACAACGGAAGCAAAAUAAAGCAAAUAAAACUUGGGCUCCAUCAACACCACAUGGCUUUAUUGAGUAUAGGCCCCGUGAACCCUAAGUCUUCACUCGUCAUCUGCACGUGAUAUGUAGCAGGCGAGUACAUGGAAUGUACUCGCAAGUUGCCAAGGGAAGUAUAACAAAUGUAUAUGCAUGGAUAAGGAAGAGAUGACUGAGGGGUUCUGUUGCAUAAAGCCAAUUUUCUUUCGCAAACAUUUUCAAAAGCUUUUUUUUUAAGGAUUUCUUAAGUCAAAAUAAUCUUCCCAUGGUACAUCCCCAUGUCAAAAUACGAGCUAAACUGACUCCAGCCAAUCACUGGGUAGAGCCAGCUGCUUAGGCUUUUCGGGCAACCGCUAGUCAGAUGACGUAACUUGCCAAAACCUUUUUUUUUAAAACAUUUUGAAAACAGAGGAGAUCCUUCACUGGCUUCGAAUCUUCAGUCGCUCAAAUUGCUCAUAACCGGGAGCACGGCUAAUCGAUUAGAUUUCACUCUGCAGAGGUUGUACACUUUUCCCACAUGACACAAUCAGUCCAAAGUGUUGCCUAACGACAAGCGUGCGCAACAGGUAAAGAUUGUGCCGAGGUCUUUUGAUGGAGUCCCCCGUACAUAAUGCCAGCACGCCCACGACCCUGAUCCGAAGAACGCUCUCCUAGGGCCAUGCCAAUGCACGAGUUCUCAUCCACCUACUUGACCAAGCCAGAGCCCAUGUAGCAUGUGGUUGUACAUGAAGCUUCUGGUAAUGAAACUUAAAAGGUUCUCUUUGUUCCUGGGCAGCGGUCCCCACCAAAAUCCUGAGCAUCCGCAGAGCCAAUCACUAGAUGCAGCUCUUGUAGACACCAAUCACUGGUGGCUCUUGUCAUACCACUCCGCCUAGAGAAAAACAUUUUGGGUUUUGUUUUAGAAAAUACUUUUCACAAAACUGCCCCAUAAUGGGCUCAUAAUUUCAUAAAACAAUUUUAUUCAAAACCCCAUAAUCCCUUAUGCAACCACUGCUAAGUAUAUAUAUUUUGUGAAGUAGAUAAUAGGGCUACAAGGAUAAAUGGCAAGAACCUAUGGUUCACUACUAGGAUAUAAAAGCAUAUAGCAUUUUCCUACACAUGCAUUUCUAAGAAAAUAAGUAAAACAUGCUUAGGAAAAUAAUGGGAUAAAUAUGGUCAAAGCAACUUGCCUUCUGAGUACUCGCAGCAAGAAUCACACUCCUGAUAGCACUCCGCGUCACACUCCGUGCAAUCUAACGUUAAAAGAAGCGAUACCGAAAUAAAUAAACAACUCCACAAGAACACAAGUGCAAGAUGUCGGUAUGCAUGCAUGAAACUCCAAACCAUUGUAAACACGUUCGAGUGCAAAGGUACUACUAAAGAAAAACUCCAAAACCAACAUAAGCAUAGUAAUAAUAAUUUGAUGGUUUCUCAACUACACCUAUUUAAUCUAAGCUUAGACCAACUUACUGUUCCAAUGUCUAAACAAGUGCUAGCAAAUUUUAUUGAAGAUUUACUGUUGCUAAAUAUCUUCACCGAGAGUUACACCAAAAAGGGGUUUGGUUUUAACUAGGUUAUGGGCAGAUUAGGCCGAAACUUAACCUGUAAUUACCACUGCAGAAAGUUUUUAGAAACUAGAAUCUAACAGGUUCAUUAAAUCCUACACGUUCUAGGCUUUCCAGAAAGGUGUAACUUGCAAAGUUUGGAUUAACAAAUCAAAAGAUAUGCUUUUCAGAAGUUGACUAACCUAUACUAGAGGUGCUGUGAAUACAGUUUUCCAAAGAUCAUAUACUGGUGUGAACCGAUCUGAUAUUGUGCAACAAGUGAACUAAUGUUUGGACAAAGAUCUAUUCUACGCUCUAAAGGAGGUUUUACGCCAGCAGGUUCUACAAAACAGUCUAUACGAAUUCUAGAAGGUGACUACUCCAGAAGACACAUGCUGUGGAUAGCUAAUACCAACGAAGAUGCACUACAGGAGAUCAUGGAUACGGGGUAUCCCUAGUGAACUAAUCUGUAGAUAAAUGUUUGCCCUAACAAUAGCAGAAAGAAUUGGCUAAAAAUGUUCUACGGUUCAAAAGUUACAAGCUAUCGAAAAAGGCUAAUCAAAACUGCUCGUGCUGAGUGUUUCUCACCGGAGGAAGUCCGCCGGAGUUGAGGAAAACAGCGUGGGAAUAGGGCAGUGCUUGGGCGUAGCCCGUGGGGUGGCGAGGUGAGAAGAAAGGAGGACCUGGGCGCCUUUUAUAGGGGAAGGGGAGAGCAGGGUCAAGAGAUUAUCUCGUCGGAAUCAAUGGCUCUAGCCAUUAAUGGAGAGGAGAACUGUGGGGAGACCAUUGGGCUGUAAUUUGGGAAACUGAGGAGGGGAUUGGGGAGAGGAGGCUCGUGGGAUUCGAUUCAGAGCACCUGGACGGGGAACGGUGAGGGCAGGUGAGGGGAGCCGGAGGAGAUUGCGCCGGCGACGGCGUUGUGCCUGUGUCUGUUCGUGUUCGUGCAGAAGGAGGAAGACGAGCACCUGUGGGGGUUGGGCUGGGCUGUGGCGCUCGGGGAGAG
RNAcentral lists this long non-coding RNA (21382 nucleotides) under Brachypodium distachyon (stiff brome). Its description in RNAcentral is "long non-coding RNA (BDIS_LNC004533)". The record is from RNAcentral. Lineage: Eukaryota; Viridiplantae; Streptophyta; Magnoliopsida; Poales; Poaceae.